RNAcentral lists this ribosomal RNA (497 nucleotides) under uncultured bacterium. RNAcentral describes it as "partial 16S ribosomal RNA". It matches the Rfam family "Bacterial small subunit ribosomal RNA", at positions 28 to 507 of the family's 1533-position model. The record is from RNAcentral.
GACGAACGCUGGCGGCGUGCCUAAUACAUGCAAGUUGAGCGAUGAAGAUUGGUGCUUGCACCAAUUUGAAGAGCAGCGAACGGGUGAGUAACGCGUGGGGAAUCUGCCUUUGAGCGGGGGACAACAUUUGGAAACGAAUGCUAAUACCGCAUAACAACUUUAAACAUAAGUUUUAAGUUUGAAAGAUGCAAUUGCAUCACUCAAAGAUGAUCCCGCGUUGUAUUAGCUAGUUGGUGAGGUAAAGGCUCACCAAGGCGAGGAUACAUAGCCGACCUGAGAGGGGGAGCGGCCACACUGGGACUGGGACACGGCCCAAAACCCUACGGGAGGCAGCAGUAGGGAAUCUUCGGCGAUGGACGAAAGUCGGACCGAGCGACGCCGCGUGAGUGAAGAAGGGUUUCGGAUCGUAAAACUCUGUUGGUAGAGAAGAACGUUGGUGAGAGUGGAAAGCUCAUCAAGUGACGGUAACUACACAGAAAGGGACGGCUAACUACGUG